This 344-nucleotide unclassified non-coding RNA is filed under the name soil metagenome. RNAcentral's name for it is "partial contains 5.8S ribosomal RNA, internal transcribed spacer 2, and large subunit ribosomal RNA". The stretch from base 1 to 119 matches the Rfam family "5.8S ribosomal RNA", at positions 35 to 154 of the family's 154-position model. The record is from RNAcentral.
GAUGAAGAACGUAGCGAAAUGCGAUACGUAAUGUGAAUUGCAAAUUCAGUGAAUCAUCGAGUCUUUGAACGCACAUUGCGCCCCCUGGUAUUCCGGGGGGCAUGCCUGUCCGAGCGUCAUUGCUGCCCUCAAGCACGGCUUGUGUGUUGGGCCCCGUCCUCCGAUCCCGGGGGACGGACCCGAAAGGCAGCGGCGGCACCGCGUCCGGUCCUCGAGCGUAUGGGGCUUUGUCACCCGCUCUGUAGGCCCGGCCGGCGCUUGCCGAUCAACCCAAAUUUUUAUCCAGGUUGACCUCGGAUCAGGUAGGGAUACCCGCUGAACUUAAGCAUAUCAAAAGCGGAGGA